RNAcentral lists this long non-coding RNA (951 nucleotides) under Mytilus galloprovincialis (Mediterranean mussel). The record is from RNAcentral. Lineage: Eukaryota; Metazoa; Mollusca; Bivalvia; Mytilida; Mytilidae.
UGAGAAUUAAAAUCCUAAAACAGAAGUAACAGGCUGUUUUCUAGUUCAAAGACCAGACCAGAGUAAGUGUGAUUUCAUAUUAUGUUGUCUUCUUAUUACCAUAACUUAAACAUCAAAUGAAAUAAUGAUAAAAAACAAUGACGUAGAAAUAGAAGUGUGUCGUCACUUUUACAAAACCCAUCCCUCGAGUAUUGCAUGACAAUAAUAAUAUUAUUUUCAAAUCCUUAUAAAAAGUCUAGUAUGUAACUCAAUGUAAUAUCAUAACCGAGUAUAGUUUGCUGUUCCUCAAAAUAGAACUGAGCAUAACAUGCACUUCAUACCUCUUAAAUAUUUGAUAUAUAUUGAUCAAUUAUUUGUAACUUCCACAUGAUUAUUGUAGAAACCGGCAGAAUUGGUAUGAUUGCAAUUGAGACAACUAUCCACCAAAAUUCAAAUAAAAGGCAUCAAAAUAAAUUGAAUAAAAUUGAGAAUGGAAUGGAAAUGUGUAAAAAGCAACAACCGACAAAAUAAAAAAACAACAGCAAGGUCAACAGUUCAUGUAGCGAGAAUUCCGCCCGGAGGCGUUUUAUUUGAACUGGUGAUAUUCUCUUCAAGUACAAUGUCCGGCCGACAUGUUGCCGUCAUUUCCGAUCUCGCUAAUGAUAAAGAUUGUUUCUCAGAUAAACUAUUGAUUAAUGAAUUGUUGAUGGAUUACAGACCGUUGGUAUUAAUUGUGUAUAUGUAUAUUCAAGACGAGACGAAAACAACAAUUAAUACAAUAGAAGGGUUCUAUAGUGUUAUGAAUUUAUCAUCCACUUUUCAACAGGACGUUACUGUGUAUUAGCUGAAAUUGGACACAACCAAACAGAGCAAGGCAUUCAACACUAGGCAAUAGGAUAUUAUCAUAUAUCUAUUAAUCAUUUACAGAAGGCACCAAUUGUUUUCUAUUGAAAAACAAAACAAUCGCCCCCA